UACGAGAGCCCCGAGCGUUAUCCGGAAUUAUUGGGCGUAAAGGGUGCGUAGGUGGUUGUGUUAGUCGUUUGUUAAAUCCUUGGGCUUAACCUAAGAAUCGCGAACGAAACGGCACAACUUGAGAGUGUGAGGGGUAAAGGGAACUCAUGGUGUAGGGGUGAAAUCCGUUGAUAUCAUGGGGAACACCAAAAGCGAAGGCACUUUACUGGCACAUAUCUGACACUCAAGCACGAAAGCGUGGGUAGCGAAUGGG
RNAcentral lists this ribosomal RNA (253 nucleotides) under uncultured bacterium. RNAcentral's name for it is "partial 16S ribosomal RNA". It matches the Rfam family "Bacterial small subunit ribosomal RNA", at positions 524 to 776 of the family's 1533-position model. The record is from RNAcentral.